UGGGGAAUAUUGCACAAUGGGGGAAACCCUGAUGCAGCGACGCCGCGUGAGCGAAGAAGUAUUUCGGUAUGUAAAGCUCUAUCAACAGGGACGAAACAAAUGACGGUACCUGAAUAAGAAGCCCCGGCUAACUACGUGCCAGCAGCCGCGGUAAUACGUAUGGUGCAAGCGUUAUCCGGAUUUACUGGGUGUAAAGGGAGCGUAGACGGAUGGGCAAGUCUGAUGUGAAAAGCCCGGGGCUCAACCCCGGGACUGCAUUGGAAACUGUUCAUCUAGAGUGCUGGAGAGGUAAGUGGAAUUCCUAGUGUAGCGGUGUAAUGCGUAGAUAUUAGGAGGAACACCAGUGGCGAAGGCGGCUUACUGGACGGCAACUGACGCUGAGGCUCGAAAGCGUGGGGUAGCAAACAGGAUUAGAUACCC
Molecule: ribosomal RNA, 420 nt
Filed under: uncultured bacterium
Lineage: Bacteria
Description: bacterial SSU rRNA
Rfam family: Bacterial small subunit ribosomal RNA
Source: RNAcentral